This 466-nucleotide ribosomal RNA is filed under the name Atlantirivulus santensis. Its description in RNAcentral is "partial 16S ribosomal RNA". It matches the Rfam family "Bacterial large subunit ribosomal RNA", at positions 1926 to 2551 of the family's 2925-position model. The record is from RNAcentral. Lineage: Eukaryota; Metazoa; Chordata; Actinopteri; Cyprinodontiformes; Rivulidae.
AACGGCCGCGGUAUCUUGACCGUGUGAAGGUAGCGUAAUCAUUUGUCUUUUAAAUGAAGACCUGUAUGAAUGGCGCAACGAGAGCUUAACUGUCUCACUCUCUUAGUCAAUGAAAUUGAUCUCCCCGUGCAGAAGCGAGGAUAAAAACAUAAGACGAAAAGACCCUAUGGAGCUUUAGAAUCUGAAACAGCCCAGACAACCCUAAGUAUUUAUAUUUCUGACCCCUGCUUCAAAUUUCUUCGGUUGGGGCGACCAUGGAGAAAAACAAAACCUCCACGAAAAGACCACACACUUCUUUUAAAUAUAGAGCCACAACUCUAAUUCUCAGAAGAUCUGCCUAUAAAUGAUCCGGCGUAACAGCCGAUCAACGAAACAAGUUACCCUAGGGAUAACAGCGCAAUCCCCUUUUAGAGCCCACAUCGACAAGGGGGUUUACGACCUCGAUGUUGGAUCAGGACAUCCUAAU